Molecule: long non-coding RNA, 996 nt
Organism: Mesocricetus auratus (golden hamster)
Lineage: Eukaryota; Metazoa; Chordata; Mammalia; Rodentia; Cricetidae
Exons: 3
Source: RefSeq, a predicted model, not a curated record
CUUCGCGCUCCUCACCGACCUGUUGUGCGCAGAAAACGAACUGGGGGUGGGGUGGGGGAACAGGGCCCCAUCCCUAGCAGAGCCCCCAAACCCGCCAAUCCCACAGGCCUGCACUCCCUCCACAGGGCUGGAAAGCGGCGCGUGCCGGGAAAACCAGGAAAAGAUCGGCCAAGGGAUUCGGAGGCAGCACCCAGAGCGGAAAGGGGACCUGAGACAGGAGGAUGCCCGAAGCUGCAGGAUGAGCUAAAGGCGGGAUGGAGGCAGCCGCGGAGACGCUGAUUGCUGCACCAGGAGGAUUGGUGCCUAGCUCCGUCACCAUCAGAGGGGCUUCCUCUGGCAGCUGAUGGGAACAGAUGCAAAGACUCACAGCCAAACAUUAGGUGGAGUGCCAGAGUCCAAACUGGAGAUCCAUCAGAGCAAGGGGAUCCAACACCAAUGAAAAUGGGUGACCCAGGUGAUCCAGCCUCUCAGUGUCCCUCUCUUGAAGUUUCCUCAGUGUUCAACAUCCAGAAAAGCUUCAAGACUGCUGGCUGAGAUGGUUCAGCCACACAGACUAUUCUAGCCAGAACCGGAGCACAGAGCCUGGAUGACAAAUGUUAUGAAUAAUUUUCCCAGGACUUGACCACUAUCCCAGUUUUCUCAGGGUUUCCCCAAAGAUGUCAUCACCCUCAGAGAACAGAAAGCAGUCUAAAGAACAUGACGCCCGCAUUUCCAAGAGGUGGGGUGGGUGGUUUUUGGUCAUUUGAUGGGCUAUAAUUGUUUGUCAUCAUUUGGGGGUUGGUUACAAAUUAUUAUUGAUCAUGGUUGGGAAAAAGAUAAACAAAGGAGAUUAUAUCAGGGAUCUCUUUCUGAAGGGAAAAAGGGGGGAAUAUAAUAUGAAUAAAUGAUGGGAUAGAAGGGUAGAUUGUUGAGUUCUUUUAAACAACCACUAGUCUCAAAUAUUAUACAUUGGUAUGAAUUUUUGUAUAUUGAUAUAAAUUUAAGAUUAUUUUGCUA